CUCUCUUAAUACCAUUUUAUAAUAUAACAUGCAAAUAAAAAUCAAGAGCGGAAGUUUAGAAUCAAACGCCCGCCAUUAAAGUGUUUUGCUAAUUUUGAUAUUUCGUAAAUCUCUGUAAUCAGUAGUGAUAGUGUAGCAUAAGUUUUUGCUACAGGCUCCAGGGAUCAAAAUUAUUUUAACAUUACUCUUUUAUUUCGUAUUUCCAUCAAAGAUGAAGGGAUGAGAAAUUGGCACACCUGCUGUCAGCUGGCAAAACGCGGCAGUCUUGAAAAUGUUGGACCAUAUGCUGGAAACAUAUUGAACAGCCACGUGUUCAACAUUUAGCCACGUGUUCAACAUCUUUUUAAGUGUAUACUCCAUGCACUUCCUGGUGUUGACGAAGCCUAUAAUUUUAUUGUUAUUUUUUUAUCUAGACCAAAAAGGACCAUGUACGUUUCUUGAGACUUGAUGCCCUCCUGUACUUUCUUCUCUUCCAAACUCGGCAUUUUGCUCAGUUUGUCAAUGACAGCUGAUUCUUACGUCUAAUACUGUUUUCUCGUUCCUUUCUGCUUGAGAAAGGUGAGAGCUUAUUUUUGUAUGCAAGGGAUAUGGCUCUCAAAUCAACUAACACUAUGGUGCAACCUUCGAUUCCAAAAGACUUAGCUAUGGGAUUCAUGUGUGCUUCCAAUGCCCUCUGUAGGUCUUUUCGCAAUUGGAAGUAUCUGUGCUGAUGUAAGAAUUCAGCCAUCAGAAUAUCCAGAACUAGAUGCAUUAUCUAUGCUUGAUGCCGCAAUGAAAGUCUUCCUGGCAAAGCGACUGGCAUCUAAGUAAGUAUAAAUAAGUUAUUUCGGUUUAUGUCUAUUGUUGUUUAUCAGCUUUGAUGUUUGAUAACUAAUGUUUCAUGUUUAUAUGAUUUGCCAGUCUCUUGUAUGUUGGAGUUCAAUUAUUUUGGUUUAUAUACUAAUUGUUGUUUACCCGCUUUGGUGUUGGAUAACUGAUGUCUCAUGUUAUAUGAUUUAGCAGUCUCUUGUGUAUUGGAGUUAAAUUUCACUUAUUACCUUGGUUAUACAGGUCAGGUAAUUGUGGUUUUUUGGUUAAUAGUUUAUGGCGACCAACAGAUCAAAAUAAAAAGUGUGUGGAAGAUCGGAGUACUCGUAUUAGAUAUUUUCUCUUAGAACUGAACGAUCGCAAAUUUUAGCACGCUUAAAAUCAUUUUCAUCUGUGGCAAAGAUAAGGUUAUGUUUUUUAGCUAAUUGUUUUAAGGUUAUGCUUAUGAUUGGGUGGAUGGUAAAUGUUAGCUACAUAGUAAAAGUAGCUGUUUUUACGAAAUACCUUAUUUGUGGUGCUUUCAAAGUGAAGUUGAAGCAUGGCAGUCCCAAACAUACCCUUAAGUCCUUUGGCUUGCCUGCAUCCAUUUCCUACUGAAUAAAAAUGUUGGGAAAAUAUGCUCUUUAAAAGCAUAUGUGUUUAUUUAAUUGUAAUAAACAAUUUUUUUGAUUAGUAAAAUAAAUGAGGUAUUUUAUUCAAAUAUCUUAAUUGCAUUAAUAUUUGUAUUAAAGUCCAUUUAAUCAUAUUAUAUGUAUUUAUGUGAUCACCAUGUGGAUUCACAGAAGACAUAAAUACAAGUUAUC
RNAcentral lists this long non-coding RNA (1610 nucleotides) under Citrus sinensis (sweet orange). Its description in RNAcentral is "long non-coding RNA (CSIN_LNC000019)". Lineage: Eukaryota; Viridiplantae; Streptophyta; Magnoliopsida; Sapindales; Rutaceae. The record is from RNAcentral.